Molecule: long non-coding RNA, 4212 nt
Organism: Parus major (Great Tit)
Lineage: Eukaryota; Metazoa; Chordata; Aves; Passeriformes; Paridae
Exons: 7
Source: RefSeq, a predicted model, not a curated record
AAUAAAGGUUUUCAGCAGACAGUUGGAAGUAAAGCUCAUGACACCAUUGCUUCUCCUACCUCAUCUGAGGCACAGUUCCGUGACUGGCUGUGCUGCCUGGAUGGAGGAGGAGCAAUGGGAAGAGGGGAUGGCCUUUUUCUCCCAGUGUCACCAGCGAUGCUGGGUUGAGUGACCCAGGCACCAGUGGUCUCCAGCCAGAGGGGGCCCCUGGGGACCUUUUUGGCAGUGGGAAGUGUUCUGCAGCUGAUCCAUGAAAUGACAAGUAGACAAACACAGACUCUUCCCAGAUUUAUGCAUCUGAUGCUCUGAAGUUUUUCUAAUUGCUCUGUUUCCUAAAACUGAACCCAUGAUCUUGCUGAACAGACCAGGAAUGAUACAGCAAAGAAAGUGUUUCCAAAGAUCCAGACUGUGGGACUUUACAUAUUCAAAUUCAAGCUCUAUUUCAGUACAUAUCCAAAAAGCUGGAUCUAAAAAUAUGGACACCUCACUGUAAUUGCUUAAUAAUUCACCAUCUUUGCUUCUCUAAGUGAAGACACCCUACUUGUUUAAAAGUGGUUGUUGUAGGAAGACUAUAGAUUUGUUGUCUGCAAGUCCUCAUGUUUUCUUUGCAAAGUGCAUUGGAAAGAGUUUUUGCUUGUUCACGGCUUCUUGCUUUGGAAGCUGGGAACAGAGAGCAUGUUUUCAGAACAUAUCAAUCCAGAUUUGAUGCUACAGGUGUUAUUCAACAGAUCAUUUUCCAAAGAGAUGAUAAGAAAUUAUAAAAAAUACUGCUACUUGAAAAAUGACCUAGUGGAUCUCUGUUUAUGCACUAUAGUGGAAUCACAUAUUUACUGUUGAGACUCUACUUGUAUGUGUUUUCCUUCCAUGUUUUACAAAUAGAAGACCAGAACCCACCCUAAAUACACUACCCUGUUCUUAAGACUUGGAAUGAAGUUUCUGGAGACAUCAUUCGUGUUUUUCUGAGCAGUUUGCUAAUUUAUGCUGUAUACCCUCUGAUGGUUUUUUUCACCAGAUUGACUGCAGGCACAUCUGCCAGAAGUGUAGUCUGAGUGUUAUUUUCUUCUAAGCAUAACUAAUGAAGACCUCACCUGUUACAAAGCAGAUUCAGAUCCAAAGAUAGAUCUUGUAUCUCAUCCAAUUAUCUGAACUUAAAACCAUUAAAAUAUGACCAUUGGUCAUUAAAUAAAACCAAUGCAAAAUUUAAAAAAAAAUAAAAAAUUGCCUGUGUUUACAGGGCUGUGACUGUGUCUGAGGGCUCUAGGGCUUCUACAAAAUGUUUUGCUUUCAUUUGGUUCUUUUCCUCAUGAAUCAAUAUUGGCACAGUGAUUUUAACUUUCAAAGGUGUUAUUGAAGGUUCAUGGUAAGGAGUGUCAGUGGUGCCAACCUUUCUAAAGGUGGGAUACAAUAGAUGAAAAGGAAAGAUAAAUUUGACUGUGUAAUUGUAGCAUUCAGUUAUGUUUGAAGUUUCUCUUAAUAAUUCAUUCAUGUUUGGAAACAGUAAUCCCAAUAUGCUUUCAUAUUUCUUUGUGGGCCUAUCACAACUGAGAUUUGUUUUAAGGAUUAAAUUUGGAGGUAUUUCCUCUUAGAUAUGAGACAAGCUUUGCACACAGAUUUUUGAAAAAGAUGCAGGAGCUGAUCAGAUAAAGGAUGAAACCUAUCACAACUGGAAGAUGCUUUCUGGAAGUGCAUACACUCCUAGAACCCUACCAAAUUGUCCCGUAUCCUUCAGCCUGUUUUAGGAGAUCCCAUAAUAAAGUUAACCUUACAUGUUAUUAAAUUACUCACUAAAAUUAACUGAAAUUUGAUUUUUUUUGUUUGUUUGUUUAUGUUAUGCUGCUGAUGGAGCUGUGAUUUAGACUUUAAGCAUGUGAGUAAAGCAAGACUUAUCAGAAAGAUCUUGUACUAGAGAAACAGGUUAAGCUGCAAUAAAACAGACUUCCCUGUGGUCUUUGAAAUAUGAGUCAUGGAACAAAACUUAAUAGUUUUAUUUUCCAUAAUAAUUAUUUUUAAUUUCUGAAGGAUAUUACAUGUAAUGAACUCAAUAGAAAUUGAAAUUUCUUAGCACAUGGCUAAUUUAACAGUGUCUCAUAAGCAAUAGUUUCUGUGUCAUGCCAGGGUUAAUAGAAUGCUCCUCUUCCUCCUCUUCUCCCCAAGUUCUAAUCAGCUCUUUCUCCUAAGCUAUCUUAAUUAUUUAAGAUAAUCAAGCUAAGCUUAGACUAACUCAACUGUAAGGCUUCUGCCUUUUUUUCUGUGUACUUCAAAGCUGUCCUUUUCCCCCAGCUAUGCAAGCUUUUUUUGUCAGUAAAGCCAAUACUUUUCCAGAAAGCCUUGUCUGUGGUGAAAAUUCAAAAAAGAAAUAAUUUCUGGUUUAUUUCCAUACUUUACUAGAUACUUCUUGACCAAAAAUUGCUUCUCUUUCAAAAUCAGUCUGUAUCCUUUCAAAUUGAAAUUUUGCAUCAAUUUCACUCCAACUCCACUUCCAAUUUGUAAUUUUCCUUUGCGUUAGUAAACUUGAUUUUUCUUUGAGAACAGGGUAUUUUGUGAGAAAACCUCAAAAUGGUAUCUCAGUCUAGAGGUAAAUUAAUCUUUAGCAAGGCCACAGACAUACCUUAACACUAACUUUCUCUAGCACAGCACAGAGUGUAUAAUAAUCUUUGAAAAUUUCAACAUUCAGAUUAGAGUUUCUUCUGUGAGGAAGUGGGGGAAAUUGGAAAAGCAGAUUGUUUUGCUAUGGUUUUGGUUAAACUUUUUGCUGUAAUAACAGAAAACAACACUAAAAAGCAAAAAGAUUUUAAAAUAAUUUAUGAUUAAUCGCUAAUAAAUCUUCUUUCAAUUAUCUUUACUACUCUGAUUAAUGUACACCAUUGUUAUUUUGGCAAUUAAUAGCAGAUAUAUUUCUUUCUUACUGACAAGAUUGUUUUUAGAAUUGUAAACACCUUUAUUCUGUCACAAAAUGCAACAUUUGCCUUUCAAAAGAAAAUGUCACUUGGCCCAUGUGAAUUCUGACUACAGGGCAUAGUGAAAACCUUUAAUUCCUUGUAAUUCACCUUGGAAAUGUGAAAAACGAGGUUCACUCUCGUGGUAAAAUUUAAUAGUUUAAUAAAGGACACUAGGAGACAAAGAUAAUAAAGCAAACUUUAGCAGCCAGGUGCUUGGCAUUCGGCCGAGAGCACACCUGCUAUUUCAGAGACACCAUUUACAUACCUUUUCUCUUGCAUCAGCCAAUUGCAUAUCCAUAUACAAUUAUGCAUAUUUAAACUUUUCCCCAAACUAGUUUACAUGUUCCAAGAACUGUUUAGCAUGGCUCGUCUUCGAGUCCGCCUUUUUAGAGCAUGCGCAUUUCUUGGCUGUGGUUGAAGUCCGUUCUUAUUAUCACCUCUAGCUUGGGUUUUGGUCCAUAUUUCCUACAGAUGGUAAGUGCUGAUAGUUGGCAAAUUAGGAGCAGGGGUCUUCAUCAUAUGUUCAUUGGAUGUUAUCCCAACCAAGCAGGCAGUUCAAUUACCACAAGCAUAACUGUAUCAGCUAUUUCACUUCUAUGUCUAAGUUUAGUAGAAAUAAAAUUACAUCUUUAUAGCAAAGUUAACAUUAUACAUAUAGCAUCCAUUUUAAUAUUUGUGAAAAGCUAAUAAUUGUAAUAUGUGUUUAUAACAAAAAGAAAUUAUAUCACCAAACUAUUCACACAAAAAAAUUAUGGUUUUAGAUGUUAAUUCCGCUGUAGGAUUUAGAAUAUUUUGGAUAGAGGAACAAGAAUCUUGGCUUGGAUCUUGUGUCACUGAAGCCAAUAGUGAUUUCAUUACUGUCUCAGUUUAGAGACAAGUUUAAGAGAAAACCACUCUAGAAUGAGUGUUUCUUCUAAAGAAAAGGGUUUCAGCAAUCCCACCCCGCCAAGAAAUGAAUGAGAGUGGAUGAAAAUGAAAAAACCCAACCAUUUAUUGACAGAUUACAUGCACAGCCCAGGAAAAAUAUAAUAAAUGCUAGGUAUUGAAUUGUUGAAGCCUUACCUCACACAGUGACAACGCUGCCCCCGGAGGGGAAAAAAGCAAAAAAAUGCCAGGGAAAGAAAAAAACAAUGACCAGUCAUGUAGCAGGGAGAAACAAAAUGGUGCCUGCUUUUGUCUCAGGGGAAAAAGCCCAAAAAGUCCCGCAGCACUUUGACAGAAAUAGAGACAGGCACUUGGUGAAUCACUGAUGUUGGUCUCCUCUAUGGAGCAG